UCCUACGGGGGGCAGCAGUGAGGAAUAUUGGUCAAUGGGAGAGAUCCUGAACCAGCCAAGCCGCGUGAGGGAAGACGGCCCUAUGGGUUGUAAACCUCUUUUGUCGGAGAACAAAACCCGGGACGUGUCCCGGACUGCGUGUAUCCGAAGAAAAAGCAUCGGCUAACUCCGUGCCAGCAGCCGCGGUAAUACGGAGGAUGCGAGCGUUAUCCGGAUUUAUUGGGUUUAAAGGGUGCGUAGGCGGUCCGUUAAGUCAGCGGUAAAAUUGCGGGGCUCAACCCCGUUGAGCCGUUGAAACUGGCAGA
This 305-nucleotide ribosomal RNA is filed under the name uncultured bacterium. Its description in RNAcentral is "bacterial SSU rRNA". It matches the Rfam family "Bacterial small subunit ribosomal RNA", at positions 337 to 640 of the family's 1533-position model. The record is from RNAcentral.